CACGAAGGGCGCGAGCGUUGUCCGGAAUUAUUGGGCGUAAAGAGCUCGUAGGCGGCCUGUUGCGUCCGCUGUGAAAGCCCGGGCUUAACCCCGGGUCGGCAGUGGAUACGGGCAGGCUAGAGGGAGGUAGGGGAGAAUGGAAUUCCCGGUGUAGCGGUGAAAUGCGCAGAUAUCGGGAGGAACACCGGUGGCGAAGGCGGUUCUCUGGGCCUUACCUGACGCUGAGGAGCGAAAGCCAGGGGAGCAAACGGG
This 252-nucleotide ribosomal RNA is filed under the name uncultured bacterium. RNAcentral describes it as "partial 16S ribosomal RNA". It matches the Rfam family "Bacterial small subunit ribosomal RNA", at positions 524 to 776 of the family's 1533-position model. The record is from RNAcentral.